Molecule: ribosomal RNA, 484 nt
Filed under: uncultured bacterium
Lineage: Bacteria
Description: partial 16S ribosomal RNA
Rfam family: Bacterial small subunit ribosomal RNA
Source: RNAcentral
AUUGAACGCUGGCGGCAGGCCUAACACAUGCAAGUCGAGCGGAUGAAGGGAGCUUGCUCCUGGAUUCAGCGGCGGACGGGUGAGUAAUGCCUAGGAAUCUGCCUGGCAGUGGGGGAUAACGUCCGUAAACGGGCGCUAAUACCGCAUACGUCCUGAGGGAGAAAGUGGGGGAUCUUCGGACCUCACGCUAUCAGAUGAGCCUAGGUCGGAUUAGCUAGUUGGUGGGGUAAAGGCCUACCAAGGCGACGAUCCGUAACUGGUCUGAGAGGAUGAUCAGUCACACUGGAACUGAGACACGGUCCAGACUCCUACGGGAGGCAGCAGUGGGGAAUAUUGGACAAUGGGCGAAAGCCUGAUCCAGCCAUGCCGCGUGUGUGAAGAAGGUCUUCGGAUUGUAAAGCACUUUAAGUUGGGAGGAAGGGCAGUAAGUUAAUACCUUGCUGUUUUGACGUUACCAACAGAAUAAGCACCGGCUAACUUCGUG